UACGAAGGGGGCUAGCGUUGUUCGGAUUUACUGGGCGUAAAGCGCACGUAGGCGGCUCGUUAAGUCGGGGGUGAAAUCCUGGAGCUCAACUCCAGAACUGCCUUCGAUACUGGCGAUCUCGAGUCCGGAAGAGGUGAGUGGAACUCCUAGUGUAGAGGUGGAAUUCGUAGAUAUUAGGAAGAACACCAGUGGCGAAGGCGGCUCACUGGUCCGGUACUGACGCUGAGGUGCGAAAGCGUGGGGAGCAAACAGG
RNAcentral lists this ribosomal RNA (253 nucleotides) under uncultured bacterium. RNAcentral describes it as "partial 16S ribosomal RNA". It matches the Rfam family "Bacterial small subunit ribosomal RNA", at positions 524 to 776 of the family's 1533-position model. The record is from RNAcentral.